UACGAAGGGGGCUAGCGUUGCUCGGAAUCACUGGGCGUAAAGGGCGCGUAGGCGGCCAUUCAAGUCGGGGGUGAAAGCCUGUGGCUCAACCACAGAAUUGCCUUCGAUACUGUUUGGCUUGAGUAUGGCAGAGGUCAGUGGAACUGCGAGUGUAGAGGUGAAAUUCGUAGAUAUUCGCAAGAACACCAGUGGCGAAGGCGGCUCACUGGCCCGAUACUGACGCUGAGGCACGAAAGCGUGGGGAGCAAACAGG
RNAcentral lists this ribosomal RNA (253 nucleotides) under uncultured bacterium. RNAcentral's name for it is "partial 16S ribosomal RNA". It matches the Rfam family "Bacterial small subunit ribosomal RNA", at positions 524 to 776 of the family's 1533-position model. The record is from RNAcentral.